Ailuropoda melanoleuca (giant panda) is the source of this 91-nucleotide non-coding RNA. The record is from Rfam. NCBI's taxonomy places the organism in Eukaryota, Metazoa, Chordata, Mammalia, Carnivora, Ursidae.
GCCUGGGUGGCUCAGUCAGUUGAGCGUCUGACUCUUGAGCUCAGCUCAGGUUAUGAUCUCAGGGUUGUGGGAUCGAGCCCCGCAUCAGGCU